ACGGAGGGGAGAUCCAGAUUCAAACACGAAGCGGAGGCGCAGGAGCCAAGCGCUGCAAACCAGCACCAAUAAGGAGGAACAAUGAAGGAGUGGCAAGGCUGGAGUUCUAAAGCUUUCAUCCUUCAAACGGCUACAUGCUCCCGUUGCCAACAGAGGUUUUGCUACAUCUGGGAAGAGGGCUGCGCCAUGGAGUAUUCUGGUCUGUAAAAGAAAAAAGACUUUUUAAGAGUCUUCUGGAACUCGGUCUGCUUAAUAAGAGAAGUGGAAAACAGCUUAGAAGGCCCAUCACCACCAACAACUGGGAAACAGAAAGUACAACACAACGGCAGAUACAUCCUGCACAGCCACAGAGUCAGUGUGAAAGACAGAGAUGCUUAGCGAUGGAAGAGUCAUUUGCACUUUUGCCGCUGCAGAAUCUAAGAAUCUAAGUCAUGAAACCUGACACCCACAGUGAGAACACAUUUGUUUUGGAACAAAAAAAAAUUGAAGAGUAAAGUUGUGUAUCCUUUAUCAGUAGGA
Molecule: small RNA, 519 nt
Filed under: Rattus norvegicus (Norway rat)
Lineage: Eukaryota; Metazoa; Chordata; Mammalia; Rodentia; Muridae
Description: uncharacterized LOC108350374
Source: RNAcentral